UGGUCAAGUUAUUAAGGGUGCAGGGCGGAUGCCUUGGCACUAGGAGCCGAUGAAGGACGUGAUAAGCUGCGAUAAGCUUCGGGGAGUUGCACGUAAACUUUGAUCCGAAGAUUUCCGAAUGAGGAAACUCACUUAGAGUAAUGUCUAAGUAUCAUUAAGUGAAUACAUAGCUUAAUGAGGGGAACUCAGGGAACUGAAACAUCUAAGUACCUGAAGGAAGAGAAAGAAAUUCGAUUCCGUAAGUAGCGGCGAGCGAACGCGGAUUAGCCCAAACCAAUAAAGUUUUCUUUAUUGGGGUUGCGGACAUAUCAUAACGAAGAGGUAUCGUAAUUGAAGAGGUUUGGAAAGACCCACCACAGAAGGUAAUAGUCCUGUAUGUUAAACGAGAAGACUUUAGAUAUGAUCCAGAGUACCACGGGACACGUGAAACCCUGUGGGAAGCAGGAGGGACCACCCUCCAAGGCUAAAUACUACCUAGUGACCGAUAGCGUAUAGUACCGUGAGGGAAAGGUGAAAAGAACCCCGGGAGGGGAGUGAAAUAGAACCUGAAACCCUGCACUUACAAGCUGUGGAAGCACAUUUCUUGUGUGACCGCGUACUUUUUGUAGAACGGGCCAACGAGUUACGUUAAGUAGCAAGGUUAAGCACUUAAGGUGUGGAGCCGUAGCGAAAGCGAGUUUUAACUGAGCGUUCAGUUACUUGACGUAGACCCGAAACCGGGCGACCUACCCAUGAGCAGGAUGAAGCGAAAGUAAAAUUUCGUGGAGGUCCGAACCCACGAGCGUUGAAAAGCUCGGGGAUGACUUGUGGGUAGCGGUGAAAUUCCAAUCGAGCCCGGAGAUAGCUGGUUCUCCCCGAAAUAGCUUUAGGGCUAGCCUCAAGGUGAGAGAUACGGAGGUAGAGCACUGAAUGUCCUAGGGGGUAUUGCACCUACCGAAGACUAUCAAACUCCGAAUGCCGUCAUCUUAUACUUGGGAGUCAGACUGUGGGUGAUAAGAUUCAUAGUCGAAAGGGCAACAGCCCAGAUCGUCAGCUAAGGUCCCUAAAUGUAAGUUAAGUGGUAAAGGAUGUGGGAUUGCACAGACAACCAGGAUGUUGGCUUAGAAGCAGCCACUCAUUCAAAGAGUGCGUAAUAGCUCACUGGUCGAGUGAUCCUGCGCCGAAGAUUUCCGGGGCUAAAACUUACUACCGAAGCUACGGCAUCAGUAAUGAUGGGUAGGGGAGCUUCCCAUACGGGUUGAAGCAUGAUCGUAAGGACAUGUGGACAGUAUGGGAGUGAGAAUGUUGGCAUGAGUAGCGAGAUGUGGGUGAGAAUCCCACAGGCCGUAAACCCAAGGUUUCCAGGGGAAGGUUCGUCCGCCCUGGGUUAGUCGGGACCUAAGCUGAGGCCGAAAGGCGUAGGUGAUGGACAACAGGUUGAUAUUCCUGUACUACCGAUAACCGUUUGAGAGAAGGGAUGACACAGUAGGAUAAGCUAAGCACACUGUUGGUUAUGUGUGCCCAAGCAUUGAGGCAGUCAAAGUAGGUAAAUCCGCUUUGAUAAUGCUGGGAUGUGAUGGGGAGCGAAAUUUAGUAGCGAAGUAGCUGAUUUCACACUGUCAAGAAAAGUCUCUAUCGAGGUUAAAGGUACCCGUACCGCAAACCGACACAGGUGGGUGAGGAGAGUAUCCUAAGGCCAGCGAGAGAACUGUUGUUAAGGAACUCGGCAAAAUGACCCCGUAACUUAGGGAUAAGGGGUGCCACCAUCAGGUGGCCGCAGAGAAUAGGCCCAAGCGACUGUUUACCAAAAACAUAGGUUUCUGCUAAGUCGCAAGACGAUGUAUAGGAGCUGACGCCUGCCCGGUGCUGGAAGGUUAAGGGGAUCUGUUAGAGCAAUCGAAGCAGUGAACUUAAGCCCCAGUAAACGGCGGCCGUAACUAUAACGGUCCUAAGGUAGCGAAAUUCCUUGUCGGGUAAGUUCCGACCCGCACGAAAGGCGUAACGAUUUGGGCACUGUCUCAACAACAGACUCGGUGAAAUUGUAAUUCCGGUGAAGAUGCCGGAUACCUGCGACAGGACGGAAAGACCCCAUGGAGCUUUACUGUAGCUUGACAUUGGGUCUUGGUACUACAUGUACAGGAUAGGUGGGAGGCUUUGAAACCAGGACGCCAGUUUUGGCGGAGCCAUCCUUGGGAUACCACCCUUGUAGUACUGGGACUCUAACCAUAGGCCAUGAAUCUGGUCUUGGGACACUGUCAGGUGGGCAGUUUGACUGGGGCGGUCGCCUCCCAAAAGGUAACGGAGGCGCUCAAAGGUUCUCUCAGUACGGUCGGAAAUCGUACGUAGAGUGUAAAGGCAAAAGAGAGCUUGAUUGCAAGACAUACAGGUCGAGCAAGGAUGAAAAUCGGACUUAGUGAUCCGGUGGUUCUGCGUGGAAGGGCCAUCGCUCAACGGAUAAAAGCUACCCUGGGGAUAACAGGCUUAUCUCCCCCAAGAGUCCACAUCGACGGGGAGGUUUGGCACCUCGAUGUCGGCUCAUCACAUCCUGGGGCUGUAGUAGGUCCCAAGGGUUGGGCUGUUCGCCCAUUAAAGUGGUACGCGAGCUGGGUUCAGAACGUCGUGAGACAGUUCGGUCCCUAUCCGUCGCAGGCGUAGGAAAUUUGAGAAGACCUGUCCUUAGUACGAGAGGACCGGGAUGGACGUACCUCUGGUGUACCAGUUGUCCUGCCAAGGGCAUGGCUGGGUAGCUAUGUACGGAAUGGAUAAGCGCUGAAAGCAUCUAAGCGCGAAGCCAACUUCAAGAUAAGAUUUCCCACCGCAAGGGUAAGACCCCAGAAAGACUAUCUGGUUGAUAGGUCGAAGGUGUAAGUGCAGCAAUGUAUUUAGCUUAUCGAUACUAAUAGGUCGAGGACUUGACCAAU
This 2900-nucleotide ribosomal RNA is filed under the name Clostridioides difficile. RNAcentral describes it as "bacterial LSU rRNA". It matches the Rfam family "Bacterial large subunit ribosomal RNA". Lineage: Bacteria; Bacillati; Bacillota; Clostridia; Peptostreptococcales; Peptostreptococcaceae. The record is from RNAcentral.